AAAUUUUAAAAUUUUAUGUUAAAAACCGUCCGCCAUUGUUUGUGGCGUCCUGACGCUAGAUUUGACUUGAAAAUGCCGUUCCCUGAAGAAAAUAACAAUAGACUUGUUUCGUAUAGUUUGAUCUAUGGAGUGAUCAGUGAUAAUGUUGAGAAAUCAAGGUAUAUAAUAAUAAAGUUUAAAGGUUAUAAUAUGAGAGGCAGUUUUUGUAAAUGGAAAAAGAGAAAACAAGAACUUGAAAGUGUCGUCUAAACAAAAUUUAUAGGAAAUGAGGACCCAAAAAAUCAUGAUUUCUAGCUUAUUGACCAACAUUGCAAUUGAAAGUGUAUCUACAGUUGACGAUCUCAAUAGCAAUAAGGUUGGUGUUGAACAGGAAGAAUGUCUAGCAGCUAACACCUCACACUUAACAGGGAAAAGGCUGGAUUUGUCUGAUAGAACAAUGAAAACCAAACUUAAAAGGAGUUAGAAAAAUUGAAGAAGAAGAAAUUAAAAAAGAAAAAUAACAAGAAGUGGUCCUGAAUUGCCCAACUUGCACAAGCCACCGAGGCAGCAUCAGUGUCAUCAACCUCUGAUCCCACAGAGUUUGUCAAAACAGCGAAGGCUGCCUAGUAUUCAGCAAAUUUGAUUUAGGAGAACCAUCUAAUCCCUCACCCAUUCUGAACAAGAACACUUUAGAUUGAAAAGUAGCAAC
Long non-coding RNA from Daphnia carinata, 688 nucleotides. RefSeq lists it as uncharacterized. NCBI's taxonomy places the organism in Eukaryota, Metazoa, Arthropoda, Branchiopoda, Diplostraca, Daphniidae. The transcript has 3 exons. The record is from RefSeq and is a predicted model, not a curated record.